AUACGGAGGAUCCAAGCGUUAUCCGGAAUCAUUGGGUUUAAACGGGUCCGUAGGUUGAUAAUUAAGUCAGAGGUGAAAUCUUGCAGCUCAACUGUAAAAUUGCCUUUGAUACUGGUUAAUCUUGAGUUAUUAUGAAGUAGUUAGAAUACUGUAGUGUAGCGGUUGAAAUGCAUAGACUAUUACAUAGAAUACCAAUUGCGAAGGCAGAUUACUAAUAAUCAACUGACACUGAUGGACGAGAGCGUGGGUAGCGAACAGGGAUUAGAUACCCUGGUUAGUCCACGCCGUAAACGAUGGUUACUAGCUGUUUGGACCUUGUGUCUGAGUGGCUAAGCGAAAGUGAUAAG
This 347-nucleotide ribosomal RNA is filed under the name uncultured Formosa sp. RNAcentral describes it as "bacterial SSU rRNA". It matches the Rfam family "Bacterial small subunit ribosomal RNA", at positions 523 to 864 of the family's 1533-position model. The record is from RNAcentral. Lineage: Bacteria; Pseudomonadati; Bacteroidota; Flavobacteriia; Flavobacteriales; Flavobacteriaceae.